This 257-nucleotide unclassified non-coding RNA is filed under the name fungal sp. RNAcentral describes it as "partial internal transcribed spacer region". The stretch from base 1 to 45 matches the Rfam family "Eukaryotic small subunit ribosomal RNA", at positions 1787 to 1831 of the family's 1831-position model. The record is from RNAcentral. Lineage: Eukaryota; Fungi.
AGUCGUAACAAGGUAUCCGUAGGUGAACCUGCGGAUGGAUCAUUAACAAAGGUCCUUCCCAACGUAUUGUGAACUUAUCAGAUUAACAGUCAGUGUGGUGGGGAAGAGUAAGGCUCGACUGCUCUUGAUUGAGUGGAAGGGUUGAGAACUGGAACCCCAUGCUGGCUGUACCACGUUUAACGUAACGCCUAAAUCUUUACUGAAGUACAUUUUGUGAAAACAAAAAACAACUUUUAGCAACGGAUCUCUUGGCUCUC